UGGGGAAUAUUGCGCAAUGGGGGAAACCCUGACGCAGCAACGCCGCGUGAAGGAUGAAGGUUUUCGGAUCGUAAACUUCUUUGAUGAGGGAAGAAUAAUGACGGUACCUCAAAAACAAGCCACGGCUAACUACGUGCCAGCAGCCGCGGUAAUACGUAGGUGGCGAGCGUUGUCCGGAAUUACUGGGUGUAAAGGGCGUGUAGGCGGGAAUGCAAGUCAGAUGUGAAACUCCGGGGCUUAACUUCGGAACUGCAUCUGAAACUGUGUUUCUUGAGUGCUGGAGAGGAAAGCGGUAUUCCUAGUGUAGCGGUGAAAUGCGUAGAUAUUAGGAGGAACACCAGUGGCGAAGGCGGCUUUCUGGACAGUAACUGACGCUGAGGCGCGAAAGCGUGGGGAGCAAACA
Molecule: ribosomal RNA, 403 nt
Filed under: uncultured prokaryote
Description: bacterial SSU rRNA
Rfam family: Bacterial small subunit ribosomal RNA
Source: RNAcentral